GUUCGAGCGUCAUUUCAACCCUCAAGCUCAGCUUGGUCUUGGGCCCUGCCGGCAACGGCUGGCCUUAAAACAGUGGCGGUGCCUCGAGCUCUACGCGUAGUAAUUAAACCCUCGCGAUGGAGCCUCGGUGGACGCUGGCCAGCAACCCCCAAUUUUCUAUGGUUGACCUCGGAUCAGGUAGGGAUACCCGCUGAACUUAA
RNAcentral lists this unclassified non-coding RNA (200 nucleotides) under soil metagenome. Its description in RNAcentral is "partial contains internal transcribed spacer 2 and large subunit ribosomal RNA". The record is from RNAcentral.